CGUCAUUAUCAACCAUCAAGCACAGCUUGGCAUUGACUGUCACCCCCCGAGAGGAGGGAGCGGUCUAAAAGAGUCGGCUUUGGAUUUACACCAGACGGCGUUAGUAAUACUUCCCGUCGAGCUGGUUUCCUUCAAAGGCCUCCAAAACCCAACACCUUAAGGUUGACCUCGGAUCAGGUAGGGAUACCCGCUGAACUUAA
RNAcentral lists this unclassified non-coding RNA (200 nucleotides) under soil metagenome. RNAcentral describes it as "partial contains internal transcribed spacer 2 and large subunit ribosomal RNA". The record is from RNAcentral.